This 725-nucleotide ribosomal RNA is filed under the name uncultured bacterium. Its description in RNAcentral is "bacterial SSU rRNA". It matches the Rfam family "Bacterial small subunit ribosomal RNA", at positions 765 to 1490 of the family's 1533-position model. The record is from RNAcentral.
GGAGCAAACAGGAUUAGAUACCCUGGUAGUCCACGCUGUAAACGAUGUCGAUUUGAAGGUUGUUCCCUUGAGGAGUGGCUUUCGGAGCUAACGCGUUAAAUCGACCGCCUGGGGAGUACGGCCGCAAGGUUAAAACUCAAAUGAAUUGACGGGGGCCCGCACAAGCGGUGGAGCAUGUGGUUUAAUUCGAUGCAACGCGAAGAACCUUACCUACUCUUGACAUCCAGAGAACUUAGCAGAGAUGCUUUGGUGCCUUCGGGAACUCUGAGACAGGUGCUGCAUGGCUGUCGUCAGCUCGUGUUGUGAAAUGUUGGGUUAAGUCCCGCAACGAGCGCAACCCUUAUCCUUUGUUGCCAGCGAUUCGGUCGGGAACUCAAAGGAGACUGCCGGUGAUAAACCGGAGGAAGGUGGGGAUGACGUCAAGUCAUCAUGGCCCUUACGAGUAGGGCUACACACGUGCUACAAUGGCGUAUACAAAGAGAAGCGACCUCGCGAGAGCAAGCGGAACUCAUAAAGUACGUCGUAGUCCGGAUUGGAGUCUGCAACUCGACUCCAUGAAGUCGGAAUCGCUAGUAAUCGUAGAUCAGAAUGCUACGGUGAAUACGUUCCCGGGCCUUGUACACACCGCCCGUCACACCAUGGGAGUGGGUUGCAAAGGAAGUAGGUAGCUUAACCUUCGGGAGGGCGCUUACCACUUUGUGAUUCAUGACUGGGGUGAAGUCGUA